UCCUCAGUAGCUCAAUGGUAGAGCAUUCGGCUGUUAACCGAAGGGUUGUAGGUUCGAAUCCUACCUGAGGAG
Gammaproteobacteria bacterium is the source of this 72-nucleotide non-coding RNA. Lineage: Bacteria; Pseudomonadati; Pseudomonadota; Gammaproteobacteria. The record is from Rfam.